UACGGAGGGGGUUAGCGUUGUUCGGAAUUACUGGGCGUAAAGCGUACGUAGGCGGAUUAGUAAGUUGGGGGUGCAAUCCCGGGGCUCAACCCCGGAACUGCCUCCAAAACUACUAGUCUUGAGUCCGAUAGAGGUGGGUGGAAUUCCUAGUGUAGAGGUGAAAUUCGUAGAUAUUAGGAAGAACACCGGUGGCGAAGGCGGCCCACUGGAUCGGUACUGACGCUGAGGUGCGAAAGCGUGGGGAGCAAACAGG
RNAcentral lists this ribosomal RNA (253 nucleotides) under uncultured bacterium. RNAcentral's name for it is "partial 16S ribosomal RNA". It matches the Rfam family "Bacterial small subunit ribosomal RNA", at positions 524 to 776 of the family's 1533-position model. The record is from RNAcentral.